GUACUCGCUUCGGCAGCACAUAUACUAAAAUUGGAACGAUACAGAGAAUAUUAGCAUGGCCCCUGCUCAUGAAGCGUUCCACAUUUAAAAAAAAAAUCAAAAAGACUU
Molecule: small nuclear RNA, 108 nt
Organism: Manis pentadactyla (Chinese pangolin)
Lineage: Eukaryota; Metazoa; Chordata; Mammalia; Pholidota; Manidae
Source: RefSeq, a predicted model, not a curated record